This 466-nucleotide ribosomal RNA is filed under the name uncultured bacterium. RNAcentral describes it as "partial 16S ribosomal RNA". It matches the Rfam family "Bacterial small subunit ribosomal RNA", at positions 339 to 795 of the family's 1533-position model. The record is from RNAcentral.
CUACGGGCGGCACCAGCGGGGAAUAUUGGACAAUGGGGGAAACCCUGAUCCAGCAAUGCCGCGUGUGUGAAGAAGGCCUGCGGGUUGUAAAGCACUUUCGGUUGGGAGGACUGCUUCUAGCACUAAUAUUGUUGGAAGUUGACGUUACCUUCAGAAGAAGCACCGGCUAACUCCGUGCCAGCAGGCCGCGGUAAUACGGAGGGUGCAAGCGUUAAUCGGAAUUACGGGGCGUAAAGCGCGCGUAGGCGGCUAGAUCAGUCGGGUGUGAAAGCCCCGGGCUUAACCUGGGAACUGCAUCCGAUACUGUCUAGCUUGAGUACAGGAGAGGAGAGUGGAAUUCCACAUGUAGCGGUGAUAUGCGUAGAUAUGUGGAGGAACACCAAUGGCGAAGGCAGCUCUCUGGCCUGAUACUGACGCUGAGGUGCGAAAGCGUGGGGAGCAAACAGGAUUAGAUACCCGAGUAGUC